This is a long non-coding RNA of Myotis daubentonii (Daubenton's bat), 1337 nucleotides long. RefSeq lists it as uncharacterized. The record is from RefSeq and is a predicted model, not a curated record. Lineage: Eukaryota; Metazoa; Chordata; Mammalia; Chiroptera; Vespertilionidae.
CAGGGAUGCUCGCCCUAGGCGCGGCGCACUGAGCAUGCGCCCUCUCGCGGCCCCGCCCCUGACAGGCCCCGCCCAGGAAAGGCCACGCCCCAGUUCCCGCCCCCUGGUCGGCCGCAGCCCGGCUUUCCUUCAGCUGCAAGGAUCCCGGCCCCAGGCUCGGCGCACUGAGCAUGCGCAGUCCCGCUUUCGCCCCACCCAUACCCUCGGCCACGCCCUCGUACCCGCCCCUGGCUGGCUCCCCUCCAGCCGCAGGCACUUCGGCCCGGGCGCACUGAGCAUGCCCAGCCUCGUUCCCGCCCAGUCCACGCCUAGGCCACGCCCCUGGCCACGCCCUCUACCAUCUUUCUCCAGCCGCUGGCAUCUCGGCCCCAGGUUCGGCUCAUUGAGCAUGCGCCGCCCUCUCCAGCCCGGGUCCCGCGCGUCUGCUUUGUACUCAUCACUCGGAUGCUCGCCGGGGCGGACAUCCUCCGCGUCCCUGGCGCCGGGCCGCUGCCCCUGCCACUGCUGGGAAGGCAAGGGAAGGAUGGGCGGAGAGAGGCCUGGUAGGAGCUCCCAUCUGAGCAGAGAGAACUGGUAUUUAUGAAAACGCUGGACGAAGGAAGGACUGAGGGUCGUCCGGACUGAGUGGCACAGCCAGGAGUCCGUGGUUGACUCAUCUCUUGAGUCUCGAUUCAGAAGCCGGCCCUGCUCUGCUGGCUCCACGCCUGGGCCACCCUUCCCUGGGUCUGCUCCCCGCCUGGAUGACGGAGGCCGACGGGUCCUUAGAUGAAUAACGUGAUGGAAGGGAGCUCGCGUUAUGACCGCAUUUCCUGUUCUGAGGCUGGGCUGAAGGCGAGCUCAGAAUGGCCAUGCAGGACGAGUGUGAAUUCCACGGCGCUGGGCGACUGAGUCACGCCGCACCUUUCCUGCCCCGCCCUGCCCAGCAGAGUCCCCGGGGCUAGGCGUGUGUCAGUAAUGCCAUCUGCCCAUCCGCGGUUCCCACCUGAGCUAGCUCCUACAGGUGAGGCUUCCGCAGCCCGCCACCCACCCGCCAUCAUCGCACCGUGUUGGUGGGGAGGCAGAGCAGCCGGGGUUAACUGGACUGUGCUCUGAGGAGUCCUAAUUGGGGACCUGAAUCUGAGCUUUUUUAAAACAUAACAAAAAACCCCCACAAACAUGCCCAGGCUGGUUUGGCUCAGUGGAUAGAGUGUCGGCCUGUGGACUCAAGGGUCCCGGGUUCGAUUCCGGCCAAGGGCACAUGCAAGGGGGUUGCAGGCUCGAUCCCCAGUAGGGGGCGUGCAGGAGGCAGCCGAUCCAUGAUUCUCUCUCAUCAUGGAUGAUUCUAUCCCUCUCUCCCU